AACCCAAUAAGCACUCCGCCUGGGGAGUACGGUCGCAAGACUGAAACUCAAAGGAAUUGACGGGGGCCCGCACAAGCAGUGGAGCAUGUGGUUUAAUUCGAAGCAACGCGAAGAACCUUACCAGGGCUUGACAUCCCUCUGACGGGUGCAGAGAUGUGCCGUCCCUUCGGGGCAGAGGAGACAGGUGGUGCAUGGUUGUCGUCAGCUCGUGUCGUGAGAUGUUGGGUUAAGUCCCGCAACGAGCGCAACCCUUGACCUGUGUUACCAGCACGUAAGGGUGGGGACUCACAGGUGACUGCCGGCGUAAGUCGGAGGAAGGUGGGGAUGACGUCAAAUCAUCAUGCCCUUUAUGUCCUGGGCUACACACGUGCUACAAUGGGCGGUACAACGGGAAGCGGGACCGCGAGGUGGAGCGAAGCCCUGAAAGCCGUUCGUA
RNAcentral lists this ribosomal RNA (436 nucleotides) under uncultured bacterium. Its description in RNAcentral is "bacterial SSU rRNA". It matches the Rfam family "Bacterial small subunit ribosomal RNA", at positions 854 to 1290 of the family's 1533-position model. The record is from RNAcentral.